AUUGAACGCUGGCGGCAGGCCUAACACAUGCAAGUCGAACGGUAACAGGAAGAAGCUUGCUUCUUUGCUGACGGGUGGCGGACGGGUGAGUAAUGUGUGGGAAACUGCCUGAUGGAGGGGGAUAACUACUGGAAACGGUAGCUAAUACCGCAUAACGUCGCAAGACCAAAGAGGGGGACCUUCGGGCCUCUUGCCAUCGGAUGUGCCCAGAUGGGAUUAGCUAGUAGGUGGGGUAACGGCUCACCUAGGCGACGAUCCCUAGCUGGUCUGAGAGGAUGACCAGCCACACUGGAGCUGAGACACGGUCCAGACUCCUGCGGGAGGCAGCAGUGGUGAAUAUUGCACAAUGGGCGCAAGCCUGAUGCAGCCAUGCCGCGUGUAUGAAGAAGGCCUUCGGGUUGUAAAGUACGUUCAGCGGGGAGGAAGGGAGUAAAGUUAAUACCUUUGCUCAUUGACGUUACCCGCAGAAGAAGCACCGGCUAACUCCGUG
This 490-nucleotide ribosomal RNA is filed under the name uncultured bacterium. RNAcentral describes it as "partial 16S ribosomal RNA". It matches the Rfam family "Bacterial small subunit ribosomal RNA", at positions 30 to 507 of the family's 1533-position model. The record is from RNAcentral.